Molecule: ribosomal RNA, 229 nt
Filed under: uncultured archaeon
Lineage: Archaea
Description: partial 16S ribosomal RNA
Rfam family: Archaeal small subunit ribosomal RNA
Source: RNAcentral
GCCACUGCUAUUGGGGUUCGGCUAAGCCAUGCGAGUGGAGGGCGUCCCGCAAGGGAUGGCCCCGCAGACGGCUCAGUAACACGUCGUCAACCCACCUUAGGGUGGGGGACAACCUCGGGAAACUGAGGAUAAUCCCCCCAUAGGCGGGGGAGGCUGGAAUGCGCCCCCGCUGAAAGCUCAGGCGCCCUAGGACGGGACGGCGGCCUAUCAGGUAGUUGGUGGUGUGACG